AGUGGCGCACGGGUGCGUAACACGUAUGCAUCUGCCCCUAACUGGAAGAUAGCCCGGCGAAAGUCGGAUUAAUAUUCCAUAACACGGCAUCGUUAAAGCUCCGGCGGUUAGGGAUGAGCAUGCGCGACAUUAGCUAGAUGGCGAGGUAACGGCUCGCCAUGGCUACGAUGUCUAGGGGGUCUGAGAGGAUUAUCCCCCACACUGGUACUGAGACACGGACCAGACUCCUACGGGAGGCAGCAGUAGGGAAUAUUGGGCAAUGGACGCAAGUCUGACCCAGCCAUGCCGCGUGCAGGAUGACGGCCUAUGGGUUGUAAACUGCUUUUGUACAGGAAGAAACCCCUUUACGUGUAGAGGGCUGACAUUACUGUAAGAAUAAGGAUCGGCUAACUCCGUGCCAGCAGCCGCGGUAAUACGGAGGAUCCAAGCGUUGUCCGGAUUUAUUGGGUUUAAAGGGUGCGUAGGCGGACCAUUAAGUCAGAGGUGAAAGUUUGCAGCUUAACUGUAAAAUUGCCUUUGAAACUGGUGGUCUUGAGUACAGUUGAGGUGGGCGGAAUGUGUCAUGUAGCGGUGAAAUGCUUAGAUAUGAUACAGAACACCGAUUGCGAAGGCAGCUCACUUAACUGUUACUGACGCUGAGCACGAAAGCGUGAGCAGCGAACAGGAUUAGAUACCCU
RNAcentral lists this ribosomal RNA (677 nucleotides) under uncultured bacterium. Its description in RNAcentral is "bacterial SSU rRNA". It matches the Rfam family "Bacterial small subunit ribosomal RNA", at positions 94 to 788 of the family's 1533-position model. The record is from RNAcentral.